RNAcentral lists this long non-coding RNA (1083 nucleotides) under Gossypium raimondii (Peruvian cotton). RNAcentral describes it as "long non-coding RNA (GRAI_LNC005136)". The record is from RNAcentral. Lineage: Eukaryota; Viridiplantae; Streptophyta; Magnoliopsida; Malvales; Malvaceae.
UCAAGAAUUCAAGGCUCAGUUCCUUACUAGAUGAGGUAUAUAUACAAAUAAUAAUCCAACAGCAUGCAGUCAUAAAAUUCAAUCCCAUUGAUUACAAAAUUUGAGUUUUGAUAUUCAAAUGGCUUACCAUAUAUGAUGAAUUGUCAUGAAAUGAUUACAUAUAUUUAUUUCUAUAAUUAAAUUAAAAUUAAAAUUUUAAAUAUAUAUUUAAAUUAUAAUUAAAAUUUGUAAGACCCAUUUUCUGCCUGGCCCACUAGCAAAACCAACCAACCCAAAAAUAAAAAAAAUUACAGUCCAUCAGAACUACAAGCCCAAACCCAAUAGGCCCAAAAAUCAGAAACCCUAAGCCCACAAACUUAAAGAUUUUCAGCAAACCCUAGUUGCCUCCCCUAAGCCCUGGCGCCGCAAGCUUCCAUGCGUGGCCUCCUCGUCUGCCACGCCUCCAGCGCACGCCGGCCUACUCGCACGCCUCUGCCAUCGUCUGCACCAACGCAUCUGACACCUGCAAGAGCCAAACAACAAAACGACAAAGAAAAUAGAAAUCAAACGGUUGUAAUAUGGCUAUAAAAGCCAAAGUGUUCUCGUUGUAACUUUUUUUACAAACGCACAUAUAAAAAUAAAAAACAGAAUAGAAGUUAAAAAGGGUUGAGAUUCUAUUGUUUUUUUUUCGUUUUCUUUUUUUAUUCAUCUUUUAUUUAUUUAUUUUCUUUACAAGUGUUUUAACAAAUAAAAAGGAAAACAAACUUACCAGAAUCGGCCCGUGGCUCCUCCGUCGGUGGUCUUUUUCCCCGGCGUUGGAAUCGGCAAAAAAGGGAGGCAAAGGUCGAAUCUUUUUCAUUUUUUUACUUUUCAGGCAUUUGCCUUGUAGAUCUAAAACCUAGGUUUAAAACGGGCUAAAAAUAAAAAAAAAUUGGUUCUCCGGCUACCGUGUACGGCGGCGCCGUCGCCGGUGACCGGCGGCUAUGACGGUGGUCAACGGCCGGAUCUUUGCCCGGAUGCGGGGAGGGGGCUAAGAGUUUGAGAGUAUCUCAACUUUUUAUUUUUUGAGAAAGAAGGAAAAAUGAAAAAUUUUGAAAAAAAUUG